This 207-nucleotide ribosomal RNA is filed under the name uncultured bacterium. RNAcentral describes it as "partial 16S ribosomal RNA". It matches the Rfam family "Bacterial small subunit ribosomal RNA", at positions 568 to 774 of the family's 1533-position model. The record is from RNAcentral.
UGCGCAGGCGGACUCGUCAGUGUCUUGUGAAAUCCCAUGGCUCAACCAUGGAACUGCAGGGCAUACUGCGAGUCUUGAACCCGACAGGGGCAACCGGAACUCUAGGUGGAGCGGUGAAAUGCGUAGAUAUCUAGAGGAACGCCAAAGGCGAAGGCAGGUUGCUGGGUCGGUGUUGACGCUCAGGCACGAAAGCGUGGGUAGCGAACG